Molecule: long non-coding RNA, 563 nt
Organism: Myripristis murdjan (pinecone soldierfish)
Lineage: Eukaryota; Metazoa; Chordata; Actinopteri; Holocentriformes; Holocentridae
Exons: 4
Source: RefSeq, a predicted model, not a curated record
CCCAUGCCUUGGCCUCUGUCUCUCUUCUCCAAGCAUCUCCCAUGGUAGCUGCAGCGUGGCGGGCAGCUGGGUCUUUGUUUGCCGUGGUGGCCGUCAAGGUUCAUACAUUACCACACAGCGUGGCUGGUCCAGGGGUGGACGGACUGCUCCGCUGGAGGCCCGCUGUGGUGUGGGUGCCUGUUGGCUUGCGUUAGCCUCUCGUUGAAGGCUCCCGCCCUCCGUGGUGAGGCUGCACUGUGGCCCAGCCUAGUGAGUGGCUGCUGCUUUGGCUCUGUGCUUUUAUCAUCUCUCUUUUUAUGUCGUCACAUCCCCUGGCCAGCCUCUGGUAUUACAAGCCCCUUCUGCUUCGCGUGAAGGACUGGCUCUUGCUUUCAUGGUCUGAGAGCCGUCGGACCUCACAAGCAUCAGGGCAGGCUUUUGUUAAAAGUGCCAGGACAAGAGGAGACCUACUGUUUUGACACUUAAAAACUAUUUUUUGUUUGGUUUUUUGUGUGUUCAUUUUCUUAUUUAGUUUGGGUAAAUUGUUAUUUGCUUUGUUCAAAUUAAAUAUACUGUUUGGUAUA